RNAcentral lists this ribosomal RNA (648 nucleotides) under uncultured bacterium. RNAcentral describes it as "bacterial SSU rRNA". It matches the Rfam family "Bacterial small subunit ribosomal RNA", at positions 744 to 1393 of the family's 1533-position model. The record is from RNAcentral.
CGUUCAUGCUNGAAAGCGUGGGUAGCAAACAGGAUUAGAUACCCUGGUAGUCCACGCCCUAAACGAUGUCGAUUAGCUGUUGGGCAACUUGAUUGCUUAGUAGCGUAGCUAACGCGUGAAAUCGNCCGCCUGGGGAGUACGGUCGCAAGAUUAAAANUCAAAGGAAUUGACGGGGACCCGCACAAGCGGUGGAUGAUGCGGAUUAAUUCGAUGCAACGCGAAGAACCUUACCUGGUCUUGACAUGUACGGAAGAACUCAGAGACGAGUUUGUGCCUUCGGGAGCCGUAACACAGGUGCUGCAUGGCUGUCGUCAGCUCGUGUCGUGAGAUGUUGGGUUAAGUCCCGCAACGAGCGCAACCCUUGUCAUUAGUUGCCAUCAUUUAGUUGGGCACUCUAAUGAGACUGCCGGUGACAAACCGGAGGAAGGUGGGGAUGACGUCAAGUCCUCAUGGCCCUUAUGACCAGGGCUUCACACGUCAUACAAUGGUCGGUACUGAGGGUAGCCAAGCCGCGAGGUGGAGCCAAUCCCAGAAAACCGAUCGUAGUCCGGAUUGCACUCUGCAACUCGAGUGCAUGAAGUCGGAAUCGCUAGUAAUCGCAGGUCAGCAUACUGCGGUGAAUACGUUCCCGGGUCUUGUACACACCGC